UCAUAUGCUUGUCUCAAAGAUUAAGCCAUGCAUGUCUAAGUGCAAGCCGUCCCGUACGGUGAAACCGCGAAAGGCUCAUUAAAUCAGUUAUGGUUCCUUAGAUCGUACCCACGUUACUUGGAUAACUGUGGUAAUUCUAGAGCUAAUACAUGCCGAUAGAGUUCCGACCUUCGGUCGGGCAGGUCCGCGGGUCUCUCGCGGCCUCCCGACUCGCGGAAAGAACGCUUUUAUUAGAUCAAAACCGGCCAGGCGGCGGACGCGCCUCCCCGGCCUUUAAGUGGGCCGCGGGCUGGCGCGUUCGUCGUAAGCGGCCCGCGCAAAGACUUGGUGACUCUGAAUAACUUGGAGCUGAUCGCACGGUCCUAGCACCGGCGACGUAUCUUUCAAAUGUCUGCCUUAUCAACUGUCGACGGUAGGUUCGACGCCUACCGUGGUGGUAACGGGUAACGGGGAAUCAGGGUUCGAUUCCGGAGAGGGAGCCUGAGAAACGGCUACCACAUCCAAGGAAGGCAGCAGGCGCGCAAAUUACCCACUCCCAGCGCGGGGAGGUAGUGACGAAAAAUAACGAUACGGGACUCAUACGAGGCCCCGUAAUCGGAAUGAGUACACUUUAAAACCUUGGUCGCACGAGGAUCAAUUGGAGAGCAAG
This 649-nucleotide ribosomal RNA is filed under the name Marchalina hellenica. Its description in RNAcentral is "bacterial SSU rRNA". It matches the Rfam family "Eukaryotic small subunit ribosomal RNA", at positions 24 to 559 of the family's 1831-position model. The record is from RNAcentral. Lineage: Eukaryota; Metazoa; Arthropoda; Insecta; Hemiptera; Margarodidae.